RNAcentral lists this unclassified non-coding RNA (240 nucleotides) under plant metagenome. Its description in RNAcentral is "partial contains small subunit ribosomal RNA, internal transcribed spacer 1, and 5.8S ribosomal RNA". The stretch from base 192 to 240 matches the Rfam family "5.8S ribosomal RNA", at positions 1 to 49 of the family's 154-position model. The record is from RNAcentral.
UUUCCGUAGGUGAACCUGCGGAAGGAUCAUUACAGAGUUCAUGCCCUCGCGGGUAGAUCUCCCACCCUUGAAUAUUUAUACCUUAGUUGCUUUGGCAGGCCGUGGAAACACCAUGGGCUCCGGCUUAUGCGUGCCUGCCAGAGGAAACAAACUCUGUUUUUAGUGAUGUCUGAGUACUAUAUAAUAGUUAAAACUUUCAACAACGGAUCUCUUGGUUCUGACAUCGAUGAAGAACGCAGC